AGUAACGCGUGGAUUAUCUGCCCUGAGGUGGGGGAUAACCCGGGGAAACUCGGGCUAAUACCGCAUAUGACCGUGAGGUCAAAGGGGGGUCGCAAGAUCUCUCGCCAUAGGAGGAGUCCGCGUUCGAUUAGCUAGUUGGUAGGGUAAUGGCCUACCAAGGCGAAGAUGCUUAGCGGGUGUGAGAGCACGACCCGCGCCACUGGCACUGCGACACUGGCCAG
This 221-nucleotide ribosomal RNA is filed under the name uncultured bacterium. RNAcentral's name for it is "partial 16S ribosomal RNA". It matches the Rfam family "Bacterial small subunit ribosomal RNA", at positions 109 to 334 of the family's 1533-position model. The record is from RNAcentral.